RNAcentral lists this ribosomal RNA (253 nucleotides) under uncultured bacterium. Its description in RNAcentral is "partial 16S ribosomal RNA". It matches the Rfam family "Bacterial small subunit ribosomal RNA", at positions 524 to 776 of the family's 1533-position model. The record is from RNAcentral.
GACGGGGGAUGCAAGCGUUAUCCGGAAUCACUGGGCGUAAAGCGUCUGUAGGUGGUGAUGCAAGUCACUGGUGCAAGGCUCUGGCUCAACCGGAGGAAAGCCAGUGAAACUGCAUGGCUAGAGUGUGGGAGAGGUAGAAGGAAUUCCCUGAGUAGCGGUGAAAUGCGUAGAGACAGGGAAGAACACCGGAGGCGAAAGCGUUCUACUGGAACUCAACUGACGAUGAGAGACGAAAGCUAGGGGAGCGAAUGGG